RNAcentral lists this long non-coding RNA (1330 nucleotides) under Sus scrofa (pig). RNAcentral describes it as "lncRNA (ENSSSCG00055008836.1)". Lineage: Eukaryota; Metazoa; Chordata; Mammalia; Artiodactyla; Suidae. The record is from RNAcentral.
AUGAACUUGGGAAGCAGCCUGUUUGUAUCAGAGAAAAACAAGAAUGCCAAAGAGAUGGAGACUGGUAACAAGACUCUGAGAGACAGUUUGAACCUGGAAGAAGAUGCUGCGUCCUAUUGUGAUCUCUUUUGGAAUUCUUUGGGAAGUCAAAGAAGUCUGAGAGCAGUGGCUGUUGUGUCUCCAGAUACUGUAAGUAUGAAAGAAAGUACUGGGGAGAGGGCAAGGUGUAGUUACCAAAGAAUCAGGCAGGAUGCCCUCCAAAUGGGACAGAGACUAGAACAAGGCAGAAAAAUUGAAGCAGGCACUCACUCUCAGCACUGGGCAAUGUAAGGUCAGCAUGUCUUAACGUUAGCCCUGGGUGUUUCUUCUGCCUCACCCUUGUCCAGCCCUGCCUUCAGGUAAGAAUGACCUCUAAUGAACACUCUGUUUGUUUGUUUGUUUGUUUUGGGCCACACCUGUGGCAUCCAGGAUUCCAGGGCCAGGAAUGGAACCUGUACCACAGCAGCAACCUGAGCCACAGUAGUGACAGAUGAUGCCAGAUCCUUAACCCGCUGCACCACCAGGGAACUCCUCUAAUGGACACUCUUAUCUCCUCAAAUUCACUUCUGUUGCUAUAUGCCUGCUUUUCGGUUCUGACCUGUAUAUUUUAUUAAUUUUACUUGAAGAGCUAUAAUUUUAACCAUAAUCCUGAUGAAAACACAAUCACAGAAAAAAGAUAUUUUCUAUUCUUCAUACCCAGGCAUUUAAUUUUUUACAAUGUUAACUCCAAAUUAGUGAGGACCUAUGUGCCUAAAGUUAGAGAUAUUUUACAUAUAUUAUGUUUAACAUGCACUAAGAAAUUCUUUAGUCUAUGCAUCUGUAGCCCACUUAGCAGAUGAGUCCCAGAGAGAGUAAAGGACUGGUCCCCAACCUGAAAGAAGACAGGGCCACUCCCACAAGAGUGCCACAUCUGCCCUCACUUCCCGUACUCACUUCAGGCCUUAAAAUCCCUGAUUUUCUUGUUUUAAUUCCCUUAAUCACUACAAAUUCUGCCUCUUCAUCUCCAAGUCAGGUUUUUCUUACUUGAUUAUAAGAUUUUACUAUUGCUUUGCUUUUGUGGUUUCUUCCUCUUUCCCAGCUUAAAAAAAAAAAAAAAAAUUCAUUGAGUUUCAGAGUAGAUCAGUAUGUCAAGUUUUCUCAAAACAUUCUUUAAAGUCAUUUUCUGACUUAAAUGUCUAGAGGGCAGAGCUAAAUGGGGCCACCAGGUAAGAAAGCAGGACGGCUCCACACACUUACAGAGGCUGAGGAAGGAGAAAUGGAAAGGAAAAAUCUUAUUAGGCUUUGUAGGUCA